CCUACGGGUGGCAGCAGUCGAGAAUCAUUCACAAUGGGGGAAACCCUGAUGGUGCGACGCCGCGUGAGUGAAGAAGGGUUUCGGAUUGUAAACCCCUGUCAUGUGGGAGCAAAUUAAAAAGAUAGUACCACAAGAGGAAGAGACGGCUAACUCUGUGCCAGCAGCCGCGGUAAUACAGAGGUCUCAAGCGUUGUGCGGAAUCACUGGGCGUAAAGCGUGCGUAGGCUGUUUCGUAAGUCGUGUGUGAAAGGCGCGGGCUCAACCCGCGGACGGCACAUGAUACUGCGAGACUAGAGUAAUGGAGGGGGAACCGGAAUUCUCGGUGUAGCAGUGAAAUGCGUAGAUAUCGAGAGGAACACUCGUGGCGAAGGCGGGUUCCUGGCCUGUUGACUGACGCUGAGGCACGAAAGCGUGGGGAGCAAAUAGGAUUAGAUACCCGGGUAGUC
RNAcentral lists this ribosomal RNA (446 nucleotides) under uncultured bacterium. Its description in RNAcentral is "partial 16S ribosomal RNA". It matches the Rfam family "Bacterial small subunit ribosomal RNA", at positions 338 to 795 of the family's 1533-position model. The record is from RNAcentral.